CUGAUAUUUAGUUUUCAUUUCUCUAAAAACUUAUUGUCAAUUACAAAUUCUCAUAUAAAUUAAUCAAAAAUACAAUUUGUCCAUAAAUGGACCUCAAACAACAACAAAAAUUUCGCAAAUUACACAAGCUAAUUUUCUUAAUAUAUCAUUUGAAAUUAAAUUUAAACACACAAAUUAAAGGAUUUUAUGACUCAAAAUUAGGGGUGGGUUGGGAGGCCCGCUCAAGCGAGUUCUGCAAAGUAAGCAGCGUCAACGCUCGGCCAGCCUAUAACCCCUCCAUAAAUUCUUGCACCAUUUCUUUGAGUAAUCGGUGCUGCGGUCAGCUCUCACCGCCCGCUUUGUUUUCCUUACUCAUUAGUUUAAGGCAGUUUUUAAAAGUACACCCCUUCAAUACUUAUGAUCUAUUCUUUCACUAGGAUAUUCACGAUUUUUCGAUGUGGGAUGUUCAUCGCAGAAUUCCCUCGAAAUCCACAUUUGAUUUGAUUCUCUUUCUGUCACUUCUUCGUUUCGUUGCGUUGUUAAUGAUAAUAGAGGGAAGAGUCUAUGCAGAUUUUCCGGUGAAAUUAGCAUCAGCGAUAUUGAUUCUUAUGGUAAACCUCAAUUAGGGUUAAGGAGAAGGGUGUACAAGAUGGCACGCCAAAAGGGUAUAUUUGGGGGGGAAAUGCCCGGCGGGUGAUGAUGCACCUCUCCAUUGCUGCUUAUGAGGAUUUGCGUAUGAACUUUGCUAUUUUUUGAGAAGGUUAGCAGUUAACUUGAAAUAUUUUCACUGAUUGAGCCUCAUCAGUGUCUAAUAUCUGUUUCUUUGGUUUCUUUUUUCACUUAAUGAACAUAUAUUUUGCUGUGUAGAGAUGCAUUAGUAUUACUUCCUCAUUUUCACGGCUUAAAAACUGUUCGUUUUCUUUUCUUUUAAAGAUUCGUGCAAGACAUCCUCUUCAGGGGGCUGCAAUUUACACUCUUUCUACCAUUAGUAAUGGAACAAAAUCGAGCCUAUAUUUCUUACAGAAAACAAGCAAAAGUAUCACAAGCACUAAAUAAUGAGAGUUGGGGCAGGACAUCCGUUAUUUAGCAUAAUUACAGGGAUUCUAAUUUCCUUAUAAACCGUAUUGUCCUAGAUUAAUAUUUUCCAUAUAUAGCAGAUUAUGAAUGCAAUAUAUUCACCAAUGUAACGUUUGCUCUAUAAAUGAAAAUUGCUUCAUUCCAUAUGAAAAUUAACAUGGUAUCAGAGCAAGGUUAGGUUUCAAAUCCAUACCUCUGCAUCUGCCAUGGCCGAAUCAAUUUCUGCCCCUGUCUUCGAUACCAACAAAUCCCUUACAUAUGCUUCUUCUCCAUACUAUCUGCAAGCAUCAGACCAACCAAACCAAAUCCUUGUCGACACACCUCUUAACGGUGACAACUACCUGGCUUGGCGUCGAGCAAUCACUCGUGCCUUGAAUGCCAAGAACAAAUUAGGCUUUGUCCUCGGCACCAUCAAACGUCUUGCCGAUUACACCGCAGCACAACUCUGGGACUGGUGCUGUGACAUGAUAAUGUCAUGGCUUCUACAUUCAAUUGAUCGAUCACUUACAGGCAGCCUUCUUUACUAUGCCACACCAAACGAUUUGUGGGUCGAGUUAGAAACUCGUUUUCAACAAAGCAACGAUACAAAGAUCUUCCAAUUAAAAAGGGAUUUAGUCAAUUUUCACCAAGAACAACGAUCCAUCACAACAUACUAUGGAAAAUUGAAGGAGUUAUGGAAUGAACUAGCCUCCUUACAGCAAAUGAAUCCAUGUACAUGCGGGGCUUCUAAAUCUCUCGCUGAAAUUCACGAGACCGACAAGGUGUAUCAAUUCCUUAUGGGACUCAACGACAGUUUUCAGCAACUUAGAUCACAAAUUUUGGCUACAGAUCCACUCCCUUCUAUUGGUCACUGCUAUGCUAUCCUUCAUCAAGUGGAAACCCAACGAUUGGUUCAAUUACCCUCACCUCGACCAGACGCCUCAGCCCUAGUUGCUUCCGCUCGCUCGACGCUACCAAAAACCAUAGCUCAUUCUCGACGUUCCUGGCUUGCUGGAACAUGAAUUUGUGAAGCAUGUGAGAAGCCGGGUCACCAACGCAACAAAUGUUUUGAGAUUAUUGGCUACCCGGAAUGGUGGCCGUCCAAGACUAAACGGAGCACAACAGCGCCCCCGCCAUCGGGUAUUCAUCAGGUGUCCGCUACCGCCGCUGCUGCCCCAUCAACCAUGAGUGAAAUCCCCGGCCUCUCCACCGAUCAGUACGCCCAAUUGAUGGAACUCCUCAAAAACCCAACCCACUCCUUCGCAAGUUCUGUCUCCUCUUUUGUUCCUCCUUUUGGUCGUGAAUCAUGUAUAGUGGAUAGUAGUGCCACACACCACAUUACUAAUUUGCCCCUUAAUAAUUGUCAUGAUAAUACUAGUCCACUUUAUGUUUCUCUUCCCACAGGGUCGCAUUCUCUCGUCUCUAGCACGGGUGAUAUUACUUUAUCCCCUUGUAUAUCACUUUCCAAUAUUUUAUCGAUUCCUGAAUUUAAGUUUAAUUUGUUAUCAGUUAGCCAAUUAACAAAAUCACUCAAUUGCGUUGUCUCAUGUUUCCCCACUUUUUGCACAUUCUUGACCUAACUACGAAGAUGCUGAUUGGCACGGGUCAUGAGCGCAACGGAUUGUAUUACUUCAAACUGGCUCCAGCAAUUGCUCUACAAUCAUCCAGUCACAUCUCCUUUGAUACAUGGCAUCAACGUCUAGGUCACCCUCCUUAGACAAUAUUCCAAGUUUUAUUUCUCGUCCUAAAAUUAUUGAACAUUGGGAUGCAUGUAAUCGUGGUUAACACACUCGAUUGCCUUUUCAUUUAGUUGCGAAUAAAAGUUUGAUGCCUUUUGGAUGAAUAUUUUGUGAUAUUUGGGGGGGUUAUCAGACUGCCUCUCUCUCAGGUGCACAUUAUUUCUUAACCAUAGUUGACGAAUACACUCGGGUCACAUGGGUGUAUUUAAUGCGCUUUAAAUCUGAAACCUUUUCUUGUUUACAUGCAUUUUUUGUAAUGAUCAACACUCAAUUCAACCUCAAGAUACGUCACAUACGCACUGAUAAUGGUCAAGAGUUCCUUGCUUGCACCACUCAAUAUUUUUUCUCCGAACAAGGCACUCUUCACGAACGCACUUGUGUGGAGACACCUCAACAGAAUGGCCUAGCUGAACGAAAACAUCGCCAUAUUUUAAAUGUGGCACGAUGUCUACUUUUUCAGGCUCACCUUCUUGUUACCUUUUGGGGAGAAUGUGUGCUCAUUGCUACUUACCUUAUUAACCCGCACUCCUUCAUCUUCCCUAUAUAAUAUUUCUCCUUUCAAACGUCUUUACCAAAAAGCACCUCGUUAUGACCAUUUGCGUGUCUUUGGUUGUCUUUGCUAUACUCACACUACUUUCGUUCAUCGUGACAAGUUUCAACCUCGUGCUCGUCCUUGUGUGUUUUUAGGUUACCCAUCCACUCACAGUGCUUAUCGUGUUUACGAUUUAGAACACAAACGAAUUAUCAUAUCCAGGGACGUCACUUUCCUCGAACAUAUUUUCCCUUUUAAACUUUUACCUCCACCUUCGAGCUCGCCCCUUAUCUUACCCCUUCUUGUUCCUGAAACCCCUGAUCAGCCACCUAUGCCUAGCCCUCCUCCAGAACCCCUCCCUGUCCUUCUUCCCACUCGCCCUCGUCGCACUGUACAACAUCCUGCUCACCUUGCUGACUACGUUUGCCCUACCUUGCCCUCAACCUCAUCCGUUACGACUUGCACCGCUCCAGUCGCAUUUUUAGGUACCACUCAUCCCAUUUCCAAUUUUGUUUUGUAUAAUAAAUUUUCUAUAGAUCAUUUUGCUUUCUUAUUUGCUUUAUCACAGUCCUCUGACGCUACUCAAUACUCUCAAGCCGUUAAACAUUCACAUUGGCGUGAUGCCAUGCAAGCUGAGAUUCGAGCACUUGAAUCUAAUAGCACUUGAGUUCUUACAACUCUUCCCCCUGACAAGAAAGCUAUAGGUUGUAAAUGGAUUUUCAAAACUAAACUUCAUGCUGAUGGUUCCAUUGAGAGGUAUAAGGCUCAAUUGGUGGCCAAGGGUUACACUCGGGUUGAGGGGCUUGAUUAUCAUGACCUUUGAUGCUCGGACUCUUCGAUAUGGUUGGAGUACCCGUGUCGGACACGACAUGACAUGGGUAUGGGAUAUGUGUCGGAUCCUCCAAAUUUAAAUCGGACACUUCGCCCUUUUUUACUUCUUCUUUUUUCUUUUCAUUUUCUUUCCCGUUUUCUAUAAUUGACAACUAAAUCCCAAAAUUAUAUUUUAUUAGUCUUAACAUCUUAUUUAAUACUCAUUUCCUUUUUUGUGAACUAUUGAUUUUGGUCUAUUCAAAAUGACAUCUUGGGUUAAUAAAAAAAAUUGAAGCUUGAAAGACGUACCCACAUAUCCAUGUCCGAAAUUGUCAGAUGGUUUUACUCAAUCUACAAGUGAUCAUUCGCUUUUUACUCGGACUAUUGGUUCCUCUUUCACUGUUGUUCUAGUCUAUGUUGAUGACAUAUUGGUUGCAGGAAAUGAUCUUUCUGCUAUCACUACUCUCAAACAAUCGCUUGAUUCAAAAUCAAGGAUUUGGGCACCAUGAAAUACUUUCUUGGCCUUGAAGUUGCCCGUUCACCGCUUGGUAUUUUUCUUAAUCAGCGAAAGUACACCCUCGAUGUACUUGCAGAUUCUGGUAAUUUGGGUUCACGGCCUGCCUCUUUUCCCACGGAUCAGAAUUUGAAGCUAAAUCUUGACGAUGGGACUCUACUUUCUAAUCCCAGUUCUUAUCGACGGUCGGCAGGUCGACUUUUGUAUCUCACUAUUACCCGCCCAGACAUCUCCUUUUCUGUUCAUAUGUUGAGCCAAUUCAUGCAAAGCCCUCGGGAUUCACAUCAUCAAGCUGCACUACAUGUUCUACGUUAUCUAAAAGGCACUCCAGGUCAUGGACUAUUCUAUUCUGCCCAAUGUGAUCUCAAGCUCUCUGCAUACUCCGACUCUAAUUGGGCCAGUUGCCCUACCACUCGUCGUUCCACGAUUGGUUUUUUUUGUCACUCUUGACACUAGUCCCAUUUCUUCGCGUACAAAGAAACAAACUGUUGUUUCACGCUCCUCUGCCGAAGCUGAAUAUCGUGCUAUGGCAAUGGCUACAUGUGAACUUGUUUGGCUCAAAUCUCUCUUGCGCGAUCUUGUUGUUCUUCAUCCGCAUCAUAUAUUGCUCUAUUGUGAUAAUGAAGCUGCUCUACACAUCACCCGCAAUCCUGUUUUUCACGAGCGUACCAAACACGUUGAAAUCGAUUGCCAUUUUAUGCGUGAGAAGUAUCUCUCUGGGCUCAUUCUACCUACACACAUCCCUUACACGCUUCAACUGGCUCAUAUCUUUACUAAGGCUCUUGGAAAGAAUCUUUUUCACCACUUCACUCGCAAAUUGGGCAUUACAGACCUUCAUACUCCAACUUGAGGGGGAGUAUUAAGCAUAAUUAUAGAGAUUCUAAUUUCCUUAUAAACCGUAUUGUCCUAGAUUAAUAUUUUCCAUAUAUAGCAGAUUAUGAAUGUAAUAUAUUCACCAAUGUAACGUUUGCUCUAUAAAUGAAAAUUGCUUCAUUCCAUAUGAAAAUUAACAUCCGUAGACAAUAGACCAAGGAGCGAAAGCCACUCGGUUGCUUGCUAAAUAGAAGAUAGUAGAAGGCACCUCCCUCGGUAUAUGCUUUAGCGACGUAUUACUAGGAGCUAAUAGCUUAAUAGACAACCUUUCAACAAUUUUAAGAGGCACUCAAUAAAUACACUGUCAACAAGUCAUUAUUCAAAUGUGAGUGCAUGAUUAAUUAUAUAAAUUGCUUCCAUUUGGCCCCCAUUAAAUCUCAUCAAAUUAAAUUAAAUUUUUAUCUCUUCUAUUUUCAACCACACAAUCGUCAAUAAAAUAAUAUAUUUUGUAAAUCGAAAACUUUUCAUUCUUUCACACCCAUCUAUUUUUCCAAAAAAAAAAAAAAAAAAAAAAAACACUAUUCCCCCCAUUAUAAUCAAAAUUAAUAGGGGCCAAACGGUCACUCAAAAUCAUUGUCAUUCUUCUUUUGCCGGAAUCUCAAAUGAAUACUGUGAUGAAUUUUCUAGGAGAUAUUGGAGCCCCUAUCGGAUGAUAUUUUAGACUACUAGCUUUUGAGAAGGUAUGAUUUUAACUGAGUAAUUUUUCCUGAUCUGCAAGUACUUGAGAUUUGCAAAUAGAAUGCUUGCCUUGUAUUAUGCAAUUAUGAUUUUGGAGUCAUGACCUCAUCUACGUGUUUAACUUGGGGAAGAGCACACAAACACACUGGAUUUCAAAAUUGUGUGAUUGAGCCCCCCGUUUCUUUCCAAAUUUUAAUGGUUGGAAUAGUGUUUUUUUUUUUAAAUGUGUUGUUGGAAAAGAAUGAAAAGUUUUUUAUUUACGUGUAAUAUUAUUUUAUGGAAGAUUGAGUGGUCAAAAAUAAGAGAGAAAAAAUGAGAAGGAGAAUGGGGCCAAACGGGGGCUGAAUAAUUUAAUAACCUUUUACCUUCAUCUGAACAACACUACGUGCUGAACUUGUCUCUAUAUUUUACAUUUUUAUCUGAUGGUAUCAGAACUUUUGAAAGAGGAUGGUAGAUGACCGAAGUUUAGGACAGUCAUAAUAAAUUGAUUUUAUUCCUUAUUCAAAAGCAUUAUAAGUUCCCUUAUCCACAACCAUUAGCUAGGACCUGCUGGUUUUGAUCCUUACUAACAAAACCACCUGAUUUAAGGCAGCUUUCAUGGUAAAAACCUCACCAUCCCCUAUCCCAGAUGUCUUCUGUUCUUUCCAAUGUGGGAUUCAAAACUUCACCUCAAAGCCCCCAUUCCAUUCCACCCGAACCCACUUUAUAUUUUGUUUUAAUUUGUUGAAUCUUUCUGCUAUUCCCACUCAUCCUUGUUGAGGGAUGUGAAAGAUACACAAUCGACAGGGUUGAAGGGGAUCUGCUGUUAUGUUGACCUUUUUAUUGAAGGUGUCAUUUGUUGAUUUUAUCAUAGUGUCUGUAAACUGAAUCCUUCUCUUCCUUUACAAUUCUAACCUCGGAGAAGUAUUAGUUUAGCACGCUUUUGAUUAAUUUCUUUGUAUAACGACUAACAUUAUUCCAAAUUGAUCUUGGUGUUGGCAGAUAUUUGGUUAUAUACCUAGAUAUAGUUAUGAAUGUGGGCUGAAUGAUGUAUAUAAAGUUCAUAUAUGUGUAAGUUGAUAGAUUUUAUGAGGUGGAUACAUAUUAGUUAGCUUUAAACUUAGUUCAAGUGUGUUCAUAUGCCUGGGAUUGACCAUCCUGAACCAAGACUUAAAAAGGCCCCCGUCGGAUUGGGAAUUUUCAUCCUAUUGCAACUUAGUAACACUGGAAUAUGAAUUUUGUAAAUAAUUUAGAAAUCAACAACAGAAAGUUGAGAAUGUGAAAUAGAACUCCUGAAACCCUCCUUUCUGGAGUCCAAUGAGGCUUUUUGUGCUACACUUUUCAAAUUAUAAUCGUAAUUGUUGAAGUUUACCACUUUGUAAAUUCACUUUUCGUCCUUCUUUACUCUGAAUAUCACACUAUUCCAGAUUAUUUCCUGUCUUAUCUUGAUGCAUCUCCUAAAUUCUACAGGAUGUGUUCAAUCUACUUCCAAAUUUCAAUGUAUGAACAAAUUAAAGCUUUCGCAGGUAAAUUAGCUGGUGGUCAAUUAUUAUUUACUUCUUUUUUUCUUUUUCUUCCCCCUCCUGUUGACAACUGCAUUUUGUAGCAGGAUUCUUGAGGCCCAAGUCUCUAACCAUAUUACUGGUAUUCUGGAAAAGUUUAUAGAUUUCUAUUACUUCUCAUAUUUUUAUGAGCCAAGAGGUCAUUUCAAUGGCAACUAUUAUCACCAGUUAUUUUUCACGUGUUGCUAAGCCCUUGUUUAGAACAGUUCUUUAAAGCUCAUUUCCCCCAAAAAAAAAUUCGAUCAUACUCUUCCAAUAAAAUAAAUUUGGACGUGGGCCCAUAACUUUUCCUAUAUUUUAACCACAAAUUCUUCAAAAAACUCACUUUUUACAUAACUUUUUUCUAAAAAAUUCUACAUUAGGCCCAAAAUAUGCAACUGAUCAUGUGUUUCCAUAAAUUGCAUUAUUUUCCAUAAUCAAAAAAUGACGUUCACUUUGGUCCAUAAAACAAAUGUUUAUUCUAGUCAAUCUAUUCAGGGUCCUUGCGUUAUUGUUGCAGUGCCUAUGGAUUCUGGAAAGAUUACCUUGUCAAGGAUGCUUCUUAGUUGGGCUUCUAAAUAAGGUUGGAAACCUACUUUUUAGAUUUAGACAGAGACAAAGAUCUAUAGCAAUUCCUUGAUCCAUUGCUGCAAAUCUGGUUGAACUGCCCGCUGAUCCAGUGGAAGGAAUAUCUCUUAAUAUCCUCUAGUUUACUUCCAUGGACAUGUAGUUGGGUACAGUAUUUUUGCUAAGGAUUGCAGGGGACUAGGCACUACAAUGAACAAGAUUUUAGCUUCUUUUCUUUUUUAAUAUCAAGUCCUGCCCAAUAUUUGUGCACCAAGCAUACAUUUAUUGGCUAUUGCAAGUGUUCCACAAAUUCAUUUAGUGUCUGUUUGUUUCCAUCAAUAGUUUGUCAUUUUUUUGUUGCCUUUUCCCCCGAUGUGAACUUGGUUUUUUCAGUGUUAAUGUAGUUCUUUUCAAGGUACUCAUGAAGGAAAUUGCCCAACUUUGGAGAGACAGCUUGCCAAAAAUGCUGAGGCAUGGUGAUAAAUACCUUGGGAUGGAUAAAAAUCAUUUUAAUCACUCAAACAUAUCUGAUGAAUUAAAAAUAAGUUCAUAAUAGUGAUUGCACUUAUACCAUGUCAUCUAAUAUUUUAUUUCCAUGGUUGACGGUGCUCCAUGCAAUUAAUAGGUUUUUAAUGCAACCAUUGUUCUGAUUCUGGAUCAGGCAUGGUGUAUUCAUCAAAUAAUGAUGCUACCAAUUCAAUUAGGCAUGCUAUUAUUCAUUUUCUCUCAUUGAAGACGUUG
Molecule: long non-coding RNA, 9009 nt
Filed under: Olea europaea subsp. europaea
Lineage: Eukaryota; Viridiplantae; Streptophyta; Magnoliopsida; Lamiales; Oleaceae
Source: RNAcentral